UGGUCUAGGUUACAUGUCAAACUC
RNAcentral lists this non-coding RNA (24 nucleotides) under Arabidopsis thaliana (thale cress). The record is from RNAcentral. Lineage: Eukaryota; Viridiplantae; Streptophyta; Magnoliopsida; Brassicales; Brassicaceae.